This 1590-nucleotide ribosomal RNA is filed under the name Triticum aestivum (bread wheat). Its description in RNAcentral is "partial small subunit ribosomal RNA". Lineage: Eukaryota; Viridiplantae; Streptophyta; Magnoliopsida; Poales; Poaceae. The record is from RNAcentral.
AUGGCCAAGAAAAAGUCCUCCUCCGCCGCCGCCGCCGCCGCCAACGGCAACGACAACGGCAACCAGGCCGCCGUCGCCGCCAAUGGCAAUGGCAACGGAAACCACGCCGCCGCGUCCAACGGCAACGGCAACCACGCUGCCCCGGCGCCAGCGCCGGGGAUGGAGGAGAAGCGGGACUCAUCGCCGGUACGGGACCGGAAAGCGGAGCAGCUAAAGACGCUCAACUCCAUGCUCCUCAAGGAGGCGGUCGAGCGGCGCGGCCAGGUGGCGGCGCUCACGGCGCGCCUCGAGGAGAUCUCCGCCGAUGGCGACGCGCUCGACGCCGCCGAGCGCGCAGUCGCGCAAGCCGCCCUCGCCGCGCCCCUCCGCGCCGCGGCCGACGAGGCAGCCGCGCUCCGCGCACGCCUCGCCGCCGUCCAGGACUCCCUCCGGCUCGCGGAAUCGAAGGCCGCGCUCGAGGCGGGCGCCAAGGACGAUGCCAGCGCGCGCCUUGAGGCGGUCGCUGGGGAGAAGGCACGGUUCCUGAAACUUCUCCAGGUCAAGGAGGCGGAGGUGGCGUCCAUAUCCAAAAAGGUCGCGAGCCUGUCGGCCAUGAUGGCAGAGUUGGAGGCCAACAAUUCCGAGCUGUUGAGUCAGAAUGGCGAGCUCAUGAAGCAAUUGGAGGAGACAAAGGAGGCGGUUCGGGUGGUCUCCUGCCAGAAGGCAGAGGUGGAGAGAAGCUUCCAGGAAUUCAAGAAAGAAUCUGAGGCGUUCCGGGUGGAUAUGGAGGGGAAGUUGAAGGCGAAGGUGGAGGAACUGAAGGUGCUGGGAUCCAAGAAGGCUGAGAUGGAUGCAAGGGUGGCCUCUUUGGAAACAGAGCUCGCAUUGUCUGUGACUAAGACAGGGGGAUUAGAGGCUGAAGUGAUGGCAAUGAAGAGGGAGCUUGAUUUGUUGAAGGGCAAAAGUGAUAAGCUUCAAUCAGAGGUUGCUGAAGCAGAGAAGAAACACAGCAUGUCUGCAGAAGAGGUUGAGAGGCUCAGGAUGGAACUGGGUGUGUUGGUGAAGGCAAAGGAGGUUGCUUCCAAGGCAUUUGAUGCUGAGAAGACUGAAAUCGUGAAGGAGUUGGAGAGCCUCAAGAGGAAGGUGGAGGAAAUCCAGGCUGACAAGGAGGCAGCCGAGGGGGUGACACGUGAGAAGGAUGCUCAGACCGUUAAGCUGAGGGCUGAGUUGGAGGAGCUCCAUGUUUCCAUGUCACAGCUCCAAACAUCAUGUGAUGAACUUGAUACCAAGCAUUCAAGCCUGCAGCGCGAGAAGAAUUCAGUUCUGAGAGCACUGGAUGCUGAGAAGGCUGAAGCAGGGAAGCUGAUGUCGAAAAUCAAGGAACUGGAGAACUGCAAUGGUAAAAUGGACAGUGAGAUUGGAGAGUUGAGGAUGGCAUUGAAGGAAAAGAAUGGGAAGAUCGAAGUCCUUUCCAAUGAGGCUGAGGAGCUGCAGCUCGCAGUGGCUGAAGCGCAGAAGAAGAACAAGGGUGGUAUCUGGGCGUGGGUGUAUGCCGCCACCACCACCAUGGUGGCCGCAAUCUCCCUGAUCUAUGCUGCCAGGGGCCAUUGA